This 391-nucleotide unclassified non-coding RNA is filed under the name soil metagenome. Its description in RNAcentral is "partial contains 5.8S ribosomal RNA, internal transcribed spacer 2, and large subunit ribosomal RNA". The stretch from base 1 to 122 matches the Rfam family "5.8S ribosomal RNA", at positions 35 to 154 of the family's 154-position model. The record is from RNAcentral.
GAUGAAGAACGUAGCGAAAUGCGAUACUUGGUGUGAAUUGCAGAAUCCCGUGAACCAUCGAGUCUUUGAACGCAAGUUGCGCCCGAAGCCAUUAGGCCGAGGGCACGCCUGCCUGGGCGUCACACAUCGUUGCCCCCCCAUCUACUCCUUCGGGAUUGCGGGGGGCGGAUGAUGGCCUCCCGUGCGCCUCGCCGCGCGGUUGGCAUAAAUGCCAAGUCCUCGGCGACGCACGCCACGACAAUCGGUGGUUGCGAAACCUCGGUUGCCCGUCGUGUGCGGUCGUCGCGCAUCGAGGGCUCGAAAAAAUUGCCGGGUUCCGGCUCGGCUUUCAACGCGACCCCAGGUCAGGCGGGGUUACCCGCUGAAUUUAAGCAUAUCAAUAAGCGGAGGA